RNAcentral lists this long non-coding RNA (2884 nucleotides) under Homo sapiens (human). RNAcentral's name for it is "non-protein coding lnc-TIPIN-1:1". The record is from RNAcentral. Lineage: Eukaryota; Metazoa; Chordata; Mammalia; Primates; Hominidae.
GCCUAAAUAAACUUGUUUUAAGUCUCUAUACAUAACAAUGAAGAGGGAAAAAUGUGUCUUCAAAAAUGAGGAGAGCCAAGAAUCUGUUUUCUCUUUUUGGUCAAAGAUCUGGCUGUCACAUUUUAAGAACAACUGUAAGAUAACUAAAUAUACAGCAUGCCACUCCAUUCCUCUGCCCCCUCAAAAGAGGAAUACCGUGUAUCUAUGAAGAAGCCUUUGGCUUUAGCACAUUCCCGGAGUUCUGAAAAGAACUCCUGGUGUGGAGGAGGGUGCUGGCGCAGCAAGGCCUGAUGAGGGAAGCUCUCCCAGAUCUUUUUGGCGACCCAGUGGUUGGCCAGGAUCAUGCAUUCAGCCACUGUCUCGUGGACUUCCAGGGGCUGCUUGGGGAUGAGGUCGUGAAUGUUCUUUUUGUCAUCUAGCUGUACGCAAACCUCUACCCCUUCCAGUUCCAGGGCACCACAUCCGUCUCGUUUAGCUCUGACAUGGCGAGCUAUGUCGGUCAGCUUUCCAAUUGCCCACACCAACUCCUCCAGCUUGGCUUGUCUGCUCUUCUCAUCCAAGUCUUUGAAUUCUGGAAUAUCAUCAACAACGCUUAAGUUUCCAUCCAGUAGUUCUUGGGCUGCUUCAUAGAACAGUUUGUAUGCUGAUCGAAUAAUGGUUCUGCCAUACCACACUUUCUUAAUUUCAUAAGAGGCUUUAUCCAGUUCCCACAUGAUGCUUACAGCAUACCUACAAAAACAGUAACAUUGACAACAUCACUAUUCAAAUUCAUCUGGCUUUUUUUGUUUUUUGUUUUUUUGAGACAGGAUCUUGCUCUGUCACCCAGGCUGGAGUGCAAUGGCAUGAUCACUGCUCACUGCUGCCUCAAUCUCCUGGACUUGAGCAAUUCUCCUGCCCAAAGUGCUGCGAUUACAGGUGUAAGCCCAGCUUUUUGGGUGGCCAAGGCGGAAGGAUCACUUGAGCACAGGAGUUCAAGACCAGCCUGGGCAACAUGUGAAACUCUGUCUCAAAAAAUAAAAAUAAAAAUGAAAAUGUGAAAUGACUUAUGUUCAAAGUUAACUCAGUACAGCUUUGUUUGUAAUACCAAAAGAUUGGAAACUAUCCAAAUUUCCAUAGAUAGUGCAACUGUUAUUAAUACGGAAUGAUCUCCAAGAUACCAUUAAGUUCUUUUUUAAAAGGAAGGUGCUAAACAGUAUAUAUAUAUAAAAUGCAACCAUUUGUGUAAAAAAGAUCACAUAUGCAUAUUCAUGUAUGUAUUAUAUCUAGAAAAACUAAUACGGAACUGGUAAGUGAGGGAAAGUGAUAGGGAGGAACCUUUCAUUAAAUACCUCUUGGGACAUAUGAGUUCGGGCCUAUAUGAUUCUAUUAGCUAUUCAAAGAGAAACAAAGUUUAAACUCAACAAAUGAACAAACAAAAAACUCCCCGAGUUCAUGAUCCUCAUGCCAAACAACUUCCGCCAGGGAAUGCAUAAGCACAAAGCUACAUACAUUUGUUCUCAGAUUUUAGCUGACUUUAAAAAGCCAGCAACAGAGGGAGACGCAGAGCCCCACUGCUAGCAGACAGAAGAGAGGAGGGAAAGGGCAGGGAAGGCUAGAGAAAUAAAGCUGCCUAAAGAUAAGUGGUGUGGGGUUGGGGUCGGGGGUGAGGUUGAGAGGUCAGAGGGGAGACACAGGGCUGGGGUGGGGCAUAGCAGAGAAGAAACAUGAGGCCAGAAGCAGGCAGCAUCAGGAGCCACAGAAGGGCCAGGACAAGCUUUGAAGACAAAAGCCAUAAACUCACCUAUCAACGCCUCCCAGAAGGGAACACAAAUCUGCACUGAGGACGGAAGGCAGCAUGUCAUAGCGACGAUCUGCUAGAUAAUAAGUGGUGGCCCUGUGAAUGACACACACGCGGCAACGCGACCUUUAGCAGGGAGAAGCAGAACUGCUGACUGUGUGGGCCGCAGGGAGGUAAAUGGCCAAAAUCUCACUACAGAUUCCCCAAGGCUGUUGCUGUUUCAUAAAGUGCAGCAGACUGGGUAAUAAAACUAUUCCCAUGGUCCCACUUUUCUAAGUGACACUGCUUUGGGCUGAAUAUUCUUCCACUGAUAAGAGAAAGAAAGAGCAAGUGACAUGAAUCUUUGUCGUAUAAGAAAAACUGGAGUGUAAUGAUCCAGUAUUUUUAAAAAAUAGUAUAUUACUACAUGAAAAUUUAACCCAUUUCGAUUUAGUAGGAAACAAUGUGUGAAAAGGUUAUGUUAAAAAGCAAAGGUAAAUUGAUCAAGGUACUGUUUUUCUAAAGGAAAAUGGAGAGUGGACCUCAACUUUUUUUUUCUGGAAGGGACCUUCAAAAUUGCACAAACAUGAGAUCUUUGAACACCUGAAACUAGUACAGACACAAAAUAUCCAGUCACAUACACACAACCAUAGAGCUGAUUUCAAAUAGCAUUACCUUGUUCUAGCUUCAAUAUCAAUGUAAGAAUUUGGUGCCACAAAGUGUGUUACAUCUGCGAUGUGGACCCCAAGUUCCAGGUUGCCAUUAUUUAAGGUUCUGACUGAGAGUGUGUCAUCCACAUCUUCACAACCUUUGGGGUCAAUGCUGAAUACGAGAUGGCUUUUCCUCAAGUCUUUACGUUUUUGUUCCUCUUCAGGACUCACCUUCCAGGGACUUUCUGGUGUGUUUACUGGCAUCUCACACAUCUGUAUGAGAAACCAAAUAUUCAGCAAUUCAUGCACCACAAAUUUCUGUAAAAAUCCACUCACUAAUAUUCUCAGUAUGACCACAUAGAAAUUCAUUCAUUCUCAAUUACCUUCUUCAUCAACCUAUGUUGGCUUCCUUUGAUCAAUAAUUGUUUACUAGGUGCCUCAGAUAUCCCAGGUACUGUGCUGGGCUCUGGAAAGUCAG